GGCCGUGUGUGUGUGUGUGUGUGUGUGUGUGUGUGUGUGUGUGUGUGUGUGUUCGCGUGCGCCCGCGUGCGCGCGCCC
RNAcentral lists this microRNA precursor (78 nucleotides) under Erinaceus europaeus (western European hedgehog). RNAcentral describes it as "miRNA (ENSEEUG00000019412.1)". Lineage: Eukaryota; Metazoa; Chordata; Mammalia; Eulipotyphla; Erinaceidae. The record is from RNAcentral.